AGUGAACGCUGGCGGUAGGCCUAACACAUGCAAGUCGAACGGCAGCACAGUAAGAGCUUGCUCUUACGGGUGGCGAGUGGCGGACGGGUGAGGAAUACAUCGGAAUCUACUUUUUCGUGGGGGAUAACGUAGGGAAACUUACGCUAAUACCGCAUACGACCUACGGGUGAAAGCAGGGGAUCUUCGGACCUUGCGCGAUUGAAUGAGCCGAGGUCGGAUUAGCUAGUUGGCGGGGUAAAGGCCCACCAAGGCGACGAUCCGUAGCUGGUCUGAGAGGAUGAUCAGCCACACUGGAACUGAGACACGGUCCAGACUCCUACGGGAGGCAGCAGUGGGGAAUAUUGGACAAUGGGCGCAAGCCUGAUCCAGCCAUACCGCGUGGGUGAAGAAGGCCUUCGGGUUGUAAAGCCCUUUUGUUGGGAAAGAAAAGCAGCAGGUUAAUACCACGCUGUUCUGACGGUACCCAAAGAAUAAGCACCGGCUAACUUCGUG
This 492-nucleotide ribosomal RNA is filed under the name uncultured bacterium. RNAcentral's name for it is "partial 16S ribosomal RNA". It matches the Rfam family "Bacterial small subunit ribosomal RNA", at positions 29 to 507 of the family's 1533-position model. The record is from RNAcentral.